Zootermopsis nevadensis is the source of this 6031-nucleotide non-coding RNA. The record is from RefSeq and is a predicted model, not a curated record. NCBI's taxonomy places the organism in Eukaryota, Metazoa, Arthropoda, Insecta, Blattodea, Termopsidae.
UACAAAGAUGGUUCCCGUUCCGUCCGCUAUGUCCUCCACGGUUGGAUUCUAUAAUAUCUGCAUUGCAGACCUGGGAUACCAAACGUGGAGGGCGUUGAAAUUAGACAAAACUUAAAAACUACACCUUUAAGACUCACAAAUGGAACUGGAAUAUUCAACUAUGUCCUCUGAGGGAUCUUCAGUUGAAUCUGAGUUGUCACAGGAUUCAACCCGUUUAGAAGAAUUCCACAUAGAAGGUGUACGCUUGCAACUACCACAAGGCUUGUGUGAAAAUAAACAUAUUUUUAAGGAAUUCUUUUCCAGUCAGACUUGGCAUGAAUGUUUUACAGAACAACAGAAACAGCACCUAAAGAGCUUUCUACCAACAUUCCCAGACAAUGAUGCCGACGAGAAAGAAGAAACAUUGCGACGGCUGUUUGCUCGAGAGAACAUGAGGUUUGGAUCUCCUCUGUCUGAUUUCCAAGUACAACUUAAGAAUGGGUAUUACAGACCAGACAUAGCCAAGAUGCGCUCAUUAAUGAGGAAAGCACAGUUUCGAGAAUACAAGUACCAACAUCGGCGAUAUUACUUUCGGCUGGUGAAGGCAAUCCUGCUAUCACGCCAACAGCUGCUAGAGACAGCGUUCAACCAACCCCCAGGAGUUUAUCCAAAAAUAGAACGCAUCCCUCACCACCCACCACCUCGCAUAUCCCCAGCAGAGCAAAGGACCAGGCGUCGAUAUUUCCAAGAACUAGCGGCAGUUCGACAGGAAGUAGGAGAGAGUGAUCACAGCUCAGAGGAUGACAAUUACCCUGAAGGACCACCUCCAAAACUGAGUAAGAAGCAGAAACGACAAUUGGCAGCAUUGGAAUGUUCUCUUAGUCCAGACAUGCCUCAAGUUAUAUCAACUGUAGCCCUCAAACCAUCAGGAUUUGAUCUGGAAUCAAACGUUACAUCAAGUCAUAACCCUUACGAAUUGAACGAGGAGUCGUACAAAGCUCUUUUGUUAAAUCACAAGAGAAGACGAUUGGAGGGAGAUGACCAUCCUGAGCUCAAUAUACUGGGUAUCACAACACAGGACAUUGCUGUGCGCGCUCAACUUGGGAAACGAUUACCACUGAACCGGACAAACCACAAUGUAGGAAGCGAAACAAAAACUCCAACAAAAAAGAAAAAAGGAGAAACAAACAGCAAUAAAGGAACGCCCACCACAGUAGCUGGUCACGUCUCUCAGAUGAGAUAUAGCCUCAACAGUCCUCAGGGAGUUGGUGGAUGCAGCUCAAAUGGAUCUGACCUUGGUGAUUCUGAAGAUGAGGAUGCAAUGUUGGAUCAGUUGUUGUUGGAUGAUAUGGAACGGGUGGAUGUGGAAGGAGAGAUCGAAAAUUCAUUGGUUGCCAGCAAAGCAACACCUCCCCACACCAGAACACCAGUAGCUGCCGCUCGGAACAGACGCACAAACAGCUCUGGCUCCUCUCCUCGAGCCAAUAGAGUGAAUACAAGUAGUGGUGGUGGCAGGAGUCUACUGCAGCGGCGGAUUAAGGCUGAAUCAGAGGAGGCUGUUAGUGAUAUGUUCCCUACCUCAUGCACCUCUAGUGAGACCACCUUCACAGUGCCAAAUAGUGGACAACAGUUCCAGCAACUUUCUAAUAAUAUCACCAUGUCCAAGACUACCAAUCCAACAUACUCAGGCAGGCACAUCACUGCAGCUACCCUGUCUGACCUCGAUGGUAUCGACAUGAUGAAUCUACCAGUAGAUCUGGACGAAUCACCAAAUGACCCCAUGGAUAUAAAUCUCGAUGAUAUGAAACCAGCACCUGAGCUGAUGCAGGAGACACAUGCUUGUUUUUUCUCACUGAUACGAGAUGUGAUCUGCUCUACGCCAGACCACCGCAUGAGUCUUGUGACACUGGAGGACAGGCUGAAAGCCUGGCAAGAGAAUCCCAUCUCUCCCCUCAAUGACUGGUACUGCAUAGCGGCCGACUCUUGGCUCCUUAUGCUGCCAUCUGCAAUCAGCUUCCUGUCAGGGGACUUCCCAGAUGCACAGCCAGAAGACUUUGUUCCUUAUGUCGAGUACAAACGCAACUUACAAGCAUUUCAGUGGAUAGGAGCAGGUCGGGACUUAGAUUCUCAUCUCCAGCCGUUGUGCCAGCACUGGCUGGAUCAUCGUGAUGAGAUGACGGCUCGGCCAGUCAAGGAAGAAGAGGUGGAGGAGGAGACAGGAGAUGGCAUUGGAGAGGAGAGGGCAUCCUCUCCUCCACCUCCUCGCUGCCCCACCUCCUGGGUUGUACAUCCCAGCACUCCUGAGGAAAAGGAGUGUUUUAGGGAACAGGAGAGGCACCGAUAUGAGAAUCCACAUCGAGCAUUCACGUUUCGAAUGCACAACUAUGAGUCAGUUGUUGGACCUGUAAAAGGAGUAUAUAAUCAGAGCAUAGGCGUAAACAAACCACGAGGCCACUCUCUUCUGGUAGCUGAGCGUCCCAAUUUUGUCACAAUUCUGGCGCUUGUAAGAGAUGCCACAGCAAGGUUACCAAAUGGUGAGGGAACACGUACAGACAUUUGUGAGCUACUUAAAGAUUCUCAGUAUCUUGCCCCAGUAUCACAGGAAAGCUACCUUCAUUCUGUAGUAAGUGGAGCGCUGGAUCGCCUGCACUACGAGACAGAUCCAUGUGUCAAAUAUGACACCAAGCGAAAAAUCUGGAUCUAUCUUCACCGGGGGCGCACUGAGGAGGAAUUUGAACGUCUUCACCAACAGCAGCAAGGCAUGGCAAAGACAAAGAAAUCCUCGAGCCAACGCAAGGCCAGUCGAAGCAAGCAGCAGAAAGAGGGUGUAGCCACUGUUAAGGAGGCUGCAGCUAGCGUUGCCACUACAGUCUCGCAGAUCAAAGUAGACUUGCCUGCCACACCCACCACACCAUCAACAAUAUCCACGCACACCUCUCUCCCCACACUUCCAACUCCACAAAUUCAAACGAGCCUUCCUGUUGUUACCCCAGUCUCAGCUACAACUGUGCCUGUGGUUGCAGCAUCUGUGAAGCCUGUCACAACAAGGGCCCCUCGCACUCCUGUUAUGCCAAGGACAUUUACCCUUGCACCAGGACAGGCUGUUCAGAAUCUCCAAGUGUCCACAUCAUCUGGACUCCAAACAAUACAAGUGACAACAUCACCAACUAUACUGACUGGAGGAGUGGCUGCUGGGAAGUCUCUUCUCACAGCUCCUGUUAGCCAGCAACAACAGCUGACUGCAGCUUCAAUAGUGAAGACCGUUGCAAUGACACCGCAGCCUACAAAUCAGUUGUCCGCUACCACUGCCACGCCCAUAUUGAAAACUGUAACUCUGACUCCUCAACAAAUGCAGGCAAUGAAUGCCGCCAGAGGAUUCGCAGGUGUCACUAGUAAUGUGAACCCCACAGCAGCAUUGAAGAUGCCAACCUCGUCAUUGGUUGCAAACAUAACUUCUUCUUCGCCCUCAUCACGAGUUGUAACCUCAAUGACUGUAGCCACAGCUGCUGUGGCUACAGUCGUUACAUCGACGCCAUCUUAUACUGUUCGGCAGCAGAAGGCACCCGUUAUCAGCCGACCCACUGCUCAGCCAUCUAUCUCCAGUUCUAAAGCUCUGGUGAAUGCCACAUCAGCUCAGUUGGUGAAUGUAACACAGGUGCAGUCAGUUGGUUCUCCCAAGCCAGUGUUAACAGCUGGAGGAAAAACUCUUGUCACCACAAAUCUGUCAGGUGUGAAGCUGGUGAAUGCUGUGAAGGCGAUUGCAACACCAGAUGGAUCUCAACAGCAGACUAUUUUCAUUAAACAGCAGCAUCAACCAGAACAACAGCAACAACAGACAAUAAUUGGGACAAUCCAGCAGCAGCCACAGUUGCUACAGCAACAUGCAAAUAAGCAAGCUGCAGCAAUUGCACAGCUCCAACAACUGAAACAGCAGCUUCAACAACGACAGAAACAGCAGCAGCAACGACAACAACAGAAACAGCAGCAGCAACAACAGAAACAGCAGCAACAACAACAACAAACUGUAAAUGUUGGGGCCACGACUGCAACUCCCACACCUCAGCGUGUCGUCACCACCAUGUCCAUCCUCGGUCAAGGACAGGCCCAGCCUCGCGUCAUGGCCAGAGUUGGUGGAAAACCGAUUCCCGUGUCGCACGUGACAUUACCGACGCAACUGCAGCAGCAAGGUGCAGCAAGUGUGACAAGUGCUCAGCCUGUAUCAGGUGUUGCCACCGUAGUGAAACAGCAGCAGCAGCAGCCUAUGGUGGCUAAAGUGUUAACAAGUGCUCAGGGGCAGGUUAUCUCCAUGGAGAGCUUGUUGGCUCAUCAGAAACAGCAUGGCACAUUGCCACAAGGCACAGCUUUGCGUGUGACAACUGGAGGAAAACCUGGACAAACAAGCCUGAUUCAGAUCCCCAGUAGCACACAGUUUGCAGUCAUGUCCCAAGGAAACUUGUUGUCUGUGGGGCAGCCCCGGGUACUGCAGACCCAACUCACCAAUCAGCAGUCCCUCGUCACAACGGCGGGAAUACAGCAGCAGCCACAGCCACAAGCCACAAAACUUGUCACGGCUGCAGGCAAACCUUUGGUCGCAGGAACAACGACCACAGCCACCGCUAAUUUACGCAUGCUAGGACCAGCAGCUGGUGGUCUCAACCUCGCUCACAUUGGCGGCAAGCCCGUAUUGCUUGCCAGUAAAGCUCAGCCAACACCCAUACAGGGGGCAGCUGGUCAGAAUGUGAUCCUCACAUCACAAGCUGCGGGUGGCCACCAGACAGUAGUGUUGGCUUCACAGGCACUGCGGGCUCAAGGUGGGACACUGGUGCUGCAACAAGGCGGUGCUCAGCAGAUACUGCUGCCACCUGGUUUCCAAGGUGGCACUCUGAACAUCAAGACUCUGCAAGGCCUCCAGGGCCUUCAAGGCCUGAAGGUGAUACCUCUGUCACAAGCAACAACUGCAGCUAGUACCAAAGGUCGACAACAAGUUUAUGCUCGAAUCAUCAGUCCUGGACUGAGACCAGCUGCUACCAACAUUGUCCACCAAAACACAGCUACGGCAGUGGCAUUGCAAGGCACCACCAGUGAAACUAGUCCUGCCAAUCCUCAGCUGGGGGCAGGUCCAUCUAGCAGCACAGAGCAGUAGGUGCCAAUACAAAGAAGAGAACAGUGUUCAUUUUCUCACAGUUGGUAUGAGAAGAGCUUCUGCUUAGACUUGUAUGAAAUGAAGAUAAAUUAUGUGAAACUGUAAGCAAAAGUUUGUUUUACCAGCGAUUGGAAAUGAAAUUGCAAUAAAAGAAUGAUGCUAACACUGUAUUGUACAGGCAUUGACGUAACACUGAACAUUCUUUCCAAAGCUUGUUGAGAUGUUGGUGCUGUCGAAACCAUAGCUUGCUCAUCUACUUCAUUGUCUCUCUUGCACAUUAUGACCAUCAUUUAUGGAAACUGGGUGUCUAGGAACGUAGGAGCAUUUACUGGAAUAAAGACUGCUGCAGACAACGGCAGAGUGUAAUACAAUGUAAUGUUUUCCAUAUGCACUGUAUAAUUCUGUUUAUGUUCUAAAUUCUCGAUCUAGAAUGAGAAUGUUUGAGAAAAUGAUGCUAAAGAGAAUAUUUGGAUCUAGUAGAGAUGAAUACCUGGAAACUAGAGAAAAUCUCUCAUAAUUUGUAUUCUUCAUCGUCUCACAUUAUUACGGUGAUCAAGUCAAGUAUGAUGAGAUGGAUGAGGUAUGUAGCAUGGACAGAGAAGAUGAGAAAUAUAUAAAAUUUUAGUCAGAAAACCUGAAGGGAUGAGACAGCUGGAAGAUUUAGGAGUCUGAGACUGUUAGUUCCACAUCAAGGACUCUGGAUCAUGGGAUUUAGUUAGUUCAAAUGCAAGGUAAGCUGUAAACAACACACAACAUGAUGUAAACAUCUGUAUAAUUUACAUUUUAUUACCUACAUUGCAAGUAAGUACAGUCUUGUCCAACUGGAAAUACUUUCCUUCACUUUUCAUUUAAGGCUCACUUUUUUGUGUAUAUAUAAUGGACUUACAAUACAGAGGACAACCAAAUGUA